Molecule: long non-coding RNA, 5998 nt
Organism: Canis lupus familiaris (dog)
Lineage: Eukaryota; Metazoa; Chordata; Mammalia; Carnivora; Canidae
Exons: 4
Source: RefSeq, a predicted model, not a curated record
CAGCCAAUGAAAAGCUGCUAACCUGCUUUCCCACUUUACACCAAUGGACUUUGAUAGCAACUUUUUUCCUCUAUAAAAGAGUGGUUCUCCCCAUUAUUCAUUGGACUUGCCUAUAGUUUUGCCAUGGCUUGCUUGUCCCAGAUUACAAUUCUGUUAAUCCCAAAUAAGCCCAUUUUUUGCUGGUAAAAUAACUAACAGUUUUAUUUUUACGGUUCAUAGGUGUUACGGAUGUUCUCUCUCCAGGGCGGCUGUGUCUUGGACUGGAUACUUUGGAGACCCUGUCUGAGGAACUCUGCAGAGAGCGAGAGAUCCAGAACUUCUGGCCUAAGACUAGGCCUACAGAGGUGGAGACAGCAGGGGACCGCAGCAUUCCUGCCUGGGGACAAGCGUCGGGGAGCUCGGAAAGCACAGAGAUCUCGUACUUGGUCACCCCUGACCCGCUGGUCUUGACACGAUCAGUGCUCAGAAUGGCCCUGCUUUCCCACCCAUCUAGUUAUAGGUUGAAGUACACGCCAAUUAGGGUCCCUAAGGGCUCGUCCUGAGAGCUGUGACAGCUUUCCCUGGAAGUAGGCAGCUCCUGUGGGUUAGAUGCCGUGGACGGAGCUAAAAUCUAGUCUCGAUUCAUACUCAGGCACUACCCACCUGGGUUGAAGUCUUGGUAUCAGCAAAGAUACCUCAGCCACUGAAGACUUGUCCUGAGAGGUGCCCCUGGGGGAAAAACUCUGGGCUGUUGCCAAAGACACUGGAGGAAAAGGAUCUAAAAGGAAAAACAGUGCCCUCUGGCUGUGAGGAUGGUGGUGCUCCUGCAGCUCGGCGCUCUAGGAAACCAGGACUGGCCUCUCAGGCUGGGAUUUGCAAUUUUCAUGGUCCUCUGGGCGGCAUUUACUGCCUGCUUUGCAUUUCUGAGACAGGAAGAGACGGUAUUGGUUUGGGCCUCAGCAAAAUCCAGGCCCGCCAUUUCUUCAGCCAUUAUGAUGUAGAGGUUCCCCAUUCAAGCAGCAUUUUUUUUUUUUUUUUUUUAAAGGAGGUUCCAGGCCCAGUGUGGGGCUUGAACUCACAGCCUGGAGAUGUGCUCUUCCGCCUAAGCCAGCCGGGUGCCCUCAGGCAGCACUUUGAAUUACAAAAAUGCCCUGGAGCAAGGCAGGGAAGGAGGGGCCUUCUCCAGUAGAGCCAGAGCUAAGGCUAAUGGAGGCUUUGGGGGAACCCUGUGCUGUGUUCCUGGAUAUACUAUUGUCAUUACCUGAUCUGUUUAAUAUCACCUUCUGCUCAUACCCUUUAUCCCACUAACCUUCAAAACAAUCCAGAAACAGAAAUAUGAUUAUUCCCAUUUUGCAGAUGAGGAGACCAGAGUGGUCGAGUGGCUUGUCGGGACCACAUGGCCCCAGCUGAGGGCCCUGGGCAUGUGUCCCCUGUGGCCCCGCCCAUCCCAUCCCCUGCGUUCUGGAGUGCAGGGGGGGUGGCUGACCUGACAAGGCCAUUGAUGUUGUGGGAGCUUCCCAAACUACUCCAGCGUGAACAUCUUCCAGAUGGAUUCUCCACAGGGCAAUGAGGCAGGAAAUUUAUGGCUCAGCCUGAUUAAUGGGCCAGGCAGUUAAGAGUUCUUUGCCAAGCUAUGAGCAUAAUUUAAAGGAACCAAGGCAGGAGGAAAGGGCCCAUAACUCACAUCCUUAAAGGGUUCUUAGAACAAGAGACACGUUGGAUCAUUCAAAACAUCUUCUUUCCUCUUGCCAAAAAAAGGCUGGCGUGUUUCUGGGUGUUUUGGUCAAUGAACAAGGAGUCUGGAUGAAUAUACAUGGCAGAAAAAGUAGGGAAAAAUACUCGCAGGUCAUAAAUUUCCAGCUGAUGUUUUCUUUGUUGUUUUCUGACGGUUGGUAUUUAUUUAACCAUGUUCUUGCUCUUCAUGCCUCUCCUCCCACCUUAUAAAUGCCAUCCUCUUUAGCGGUGUCAUUUUUCAUUGUAUGGAAUUGAACUGCUGCCAGGAAAGCAGCUUCGGGGAUCAUAGAAAUGGUGCCAUAGAACACAAUGGAAGGAGUCCCAGAAUGGGAGUAGAAGUUGUAGUUUGAAUCCUGGCCCUAGUACUGCGGGCUGUGUGAUUUUAGGAAUGUUUCUGAAGGGGAGUGGAAUAUUCCCCCCCCCCCCCCCCCUGCAACGUGUCUCUUUGGCACAGGGACUGUUUUAGGCUGGUUGUUUUUGAGAAGCAGCUGACUUGGGAGGAGCUCUGAAAACCAAGAAGUUACCCUGUUAUAGGAGACAUUUGCGUGGGUGCGGGAAAUCUCCACAUGUAAGGUGUCUCUCCCUCCUGGUACCAGGAUGAAGGGGAUCUUUAAAUCUCCAGAACCUGUUAUCAGUGGAGUUGGCAGGGACUUAAAUCUGUGUAACAACCUAACCUGUGCACUGUGCAUGUCCCUGUCCCGUAACGGACUACCCUCCACCCAUCCAGCAUCUUUUAUCUUUAGCUGAAGAUGGAAUUUUCAGUUUCCAGACUUUGGUUUUCCUGGGUCUGUCCCAUGUAACCAGGAGGUAUACAUGUUAUUAAACUUUUGUUUGUUUCCUGUUACUCUGUCUUAUAUCAACCUAGUUAUUAGACCAGCCAAAGAACCUAGAAGGGAAGGAGGGAAACUUUUUCCAUCCCUACAGUUCUGGUGACCUGCAUGGGAUUUUCCCUGGCAGGGCCUUGUUCACUCUGGGGCUGCUGCAGCUGGGAGAUCCUGGGACCUCUAACAAAAAGCCAGCAGAAGGGGAGGGCUCUUACCUCGUCAGUCUCGGGGACCUCUGCCUGGAAGAAAUGCCUUAUUAAAUACCUGAUUGCUCCUAACUUUGGGAGCUCACCUUUAUGACAGCUUCCUGCAAUGAGUCACAACUGUUUAACUGAACUGACCUGUUCUCAGGACUGAGUGACUGGUUCAGUGAGAUACGGAGAAGUCUAUCAACUCAGUUUCUGGGCAGUGAAAAUUCUUCAAAGUUUCAAAGGGUCUAUUCUAUACCAGACUUUAAAUCAAAGCAACAUGUUGUUUAAGUGUUCUGGAAGAUACUGUUCUACAAAUUUUAUCUCGGCUGCUCUCCCUGCCCCAAGCUCUGAUGGAUUAUCAUUCAGCAAUAAUUUUCCUCUCACUGUGGACACAACAUGCCCAUUGAUGUUGAGUGCAACCAGGACAUUUUCCCCUUGGACUUCUGGUUGCCUUUAUCUCUGUCCUGCAAUUUACUCCCAUGCUUCUCCUGGAGCCUUCCCUCCGAGAGCCCUCGGACCCCAGCUCCCAUGGGGCCAGGCUGUCCUCUGGGCACCUCACAGCAAGGUGAUUGGGUUUCAAGGGAGAAGGAGAGACAGAGACAGAGAGGGGGAAAGGAGAGAUAUGGAGAGAGAAGAGAGAGAGAGAAGGAGAGAUGUGUGUGUGGGGGAUGUGGCGAGGAGAGAGGUAGGACAGGGAGGGGAGGGCACAGAGGUGUGUGGAGGAGGUCAUGGCAAGACCACAAACUGCAGAACCACCCUGAGGACAUACUGAAGCCCCCACCACCUUUGUGGCCUGCCCUUGGGAGUUGGCAACGUUGCUUCUGCUGCAUUCUAGUCAUCAAAGUCUAUUCACAAAGGCCCUUGGAGUUCCAAGGGGAGGCAGAAAGAGACACCAUCCCCUUAAGGGAGUGUGGCAACAUCCGGGAAGAACAUCCAAGAAGAACACAGUGGUCAAUUUUGGAAAAUAUUAAUCUACUGUAGAGCAUAACGCAGUUAUUUUCUCAAACAAGGAAUCUUUUCUCUGAUAGACUACUGUUAGCUGAAUAAAAAAUUGUAUUUUACUCCGCCGCACUUGCUUUUCACUGUAUACCCAAGUACAGCAAAUGCUCUGCUGUACACGGACAACGCUGUCAUGAGCUUUUAGGAAACCUCGUCUCCCAUGUCAGGCCCCCUCCCGUUAUCUUUUUAUAUGACCUUAUCUUUUUUCUUUGCUUACUGUUAGAAAAAUUGCUUUGAACGUAAUCUUUCCCUUCAAAGGAUGCAUCUAGAAAUGCACUUCCUGAAAUUCCUUUCGUAAUUGGUUCUAGUCAUCUGAGAAAAUAUAAAGCACUGUCGACAGAGUUUUGUUUCAUGAGAAGGCUGAUGACGGGUCAAGAGCCAUACAAAACCGUAACUACUCCCCAUCACCCCCCAUUGGCUUGUUCCUGUUUCAAAAAGUAUUCCUUUGAAAACAGAGAAUUUCUACACAACAUAAUUAUAGUACAUUGUAUUGUACUAUAUUAUACAAUUAUAUUGUACUAAUAUAGUAUAUUAUAGCAUUUGGACCAGUUGACCCAAGUCAACAUCAAAUAAGAGCCUCAGAUUAGGGGCACCUGGGUGGCUCAGUGGUUGAGCUUCUGCCUUUGGCUCAGGGUGUGAUCCUGGGGUCCUGGGAUGGAGUUUUGCAUCAGGUUCCCCGCAGGGAGCUCGCUUCUCCAACUGCCUGUCUCUGUCUUUCUGUCAUGAAUAAAUAAAUAAAAUUCCUUUAAAAAAAAAAAAAAAGAGCCUCAGAUUAUUUAGACAAAAAGGAAACCUAAUAGAUUAUGUCUUUUCACAGUACCUAUAAUAUUGUGUCCCGUGAUGGCAAGCAGUGGCUGCAUACAAGCCUGGGUGCACGGCCCCGGUGUGAUUAUGUGUUGUGAGUGCCCCUGAGGUCACCAAAGGAAGCCGUGGGUCUCUGAGCCCUACAGAUAUUGGAGCUGCUCAGACAUCUGUGAGACCUCACUGACUUUUAUCUCAGCGCCUGAUCACAAAGUAAACUGUAUUUGGUGCUUGGGAAGCCUCAGCCUGCUCUGUGGCCUGUGUGACCCUCUGCCACGAAGAAUAUCCAAGUGUGCUUUGCAGUCCAGGCCGCCAUGUACAGUGGUGUGUCAUGCACUGAGCAACUUCAGGAAUAUCCUUCUCAUUAAGGUCAUCCCAGGUUUUUUCUGGCAGAGAGCAAUAACAUACCUUGGGGAAGGGGCACCUUUUCCUAAUUCAUGUAGUGGUGUAUACUGCUUGGGAGGGGAAAGAAUAUUGACUAGAAUCAAGUUUACCCACAUUAAUAAUAAUGUUUCAUGCUUAUGUCGCCUUGGGGGUUCUUAAUCUCUUCUGUAGUGCCAUACACACUUGAUUUAUUGGCUUGUUUUCCUUUUUCCUUUGACUUAAUGGCUCUUUCUCAUUGUUUUCUGAAAACAUGGCUUUGCUUUGCUUCCCGGAAUGGGAAACAGAAACGUUUCCCAUUUCUGCUGUUCAGAGGGAAGUGUGGCUAGCACAGAGUGCUGGGAUUCAUAUCCCCAGAACGUGGCCUCAGGUGGCUGUGAGCAUUCAGUAGGUUCGUCUGGCCUCAGAACCCCACAGAGGACAGAAGGAGCACCCUUCUAAGGCUUGGGGAGUAUCAAGUGAGUGGAACACAGCACAUCUUACAACAGCCUGAGGGAUCUGCAGUAAGUAGACAGAUCCCUCUUAGCUUCUCUAACCAGAGUGCCUCCUGGGAGGGGAGCCCUUUCCCUCUUGCUUUUAUCCUCUCCUCCAUCUCCCGAGGAACCAAGUGCUUUAAUUUUCCUCUCUCCUAUCAGAAAUUCAGGGGUUUAAUACAUUUUAUCUGCUAAUGAAUGGAGAGGGGAUAAUUCCUAAUCUUACAAAAUUGCUAAUGGUAGCGUUUCAGGCCUUUCCAGGGAACGUUUUAAAUGGCGGUGGCGGCCUCUGACUCACCUGUAAGUGGUUGAAGUAGGUUUGGCUCCAUGAUCAUGUUGGGCCUGAGACAAAUGUUCACUUGGCAUGAAUGAAUACAUAUUGGGACAAUUUUAGUAUCUCCUCAGGAGGUGCCCCCAGAGAAGUGUAUCUGAGGAAGACUUUUUUUUUUUUUUCUUUUCCCCUCUCCUGGCAGCCUCGUGAUUAAGAAGUGGCCCUUUUGGGGCAGCCGGGGAGGCUCAGCGGUUUAGCGCCUGCCUUCAGCCCAGGGAGUGAUCCUGGGGACCCGGGACCGAGUCCCACGUCGGGCUCCCUGCAUGGAGUCUGCUUCUCCCUCUG